AUGGCUCAGGACGAACGCUGGCGGCGUGCCUAAUACAUGCAAGUCGAACGGUCUUUCUAUGGAAGCUUGCUUCCACUGAGAAGAUAGUGGCGAACGGGUGAGUAACACGUGGGUAACCUGCCCAUAAGAGGGGGAUAACAUCCGGAAACGGGUGCUAAUACCGCAUAGUUUUCUUGAUCGCAUGAUUGAGAAAGGAAAGACGGCCUUUGUGCUGUCGCUUAUGGAUGGACCCGCGGCGUAUUAGUUAGUUGGUGAGGUAACGGCUCACCAAGACGAUGAUACGUAGCCGACCUGAGAGGGUGAUCGGCCACAUUGGGACUGAGACACGGCCCAAACUCCUACGGGAGGCAGCAGUAGGGAAUCUUCCGCAAUGGACGAAAGUCUGACGGAGCAACGCCGCGUGAGUGAAAGAAGGUUUUCGGAUCGUAAAACUCUGUUGUCAGAGAAGAACAAGUUGGAGAGUAACUGCUCCAGCCUUGACGGUAUCUGACCAGAAAGCCACGGCUAACUACGUGCCAGCCGCGGC
This 526-nucleotide ribosomal RNA is filed under the name uncultured bacterium. RNAcentral describes it as "bacterial SSU rRNA". It matches the Rfam family "Bacterial small subunit ribosomal RNA", at positions 19 to 518 of the family's 1533-position model. The record is from RNAcentral.